AUUGAACGCUGGCGGCAGGCCUAACACAUGCAAGUCGAGCGGAUGAAGGGAGCUUGCUCCUGGAUUCAGCGGCGGACGGGUGAGUAAUGCCUAGGAAUCUUCCUGGUAGUGGGGGAUAACGUCCGGAAACGGGCGCUAAUACCGCAUACGUCCUGAGGGAGAAAGUGGGGGAUCUUCGGACCUCACGCUAUCAGAUGAGCCUAGGUCGGAUUAGCUAGUUGGUGGGGUAAAGGCCUACCAAGGCGACGAUCCGUAACUGGUCUGAGAGGAUGAUCAGUCACACUGUAACUGAGACACGGUCCAGACUUCUACGGGAGGCAGCAUUGGGGAAUUUUGGACUAUGCCCGAAAUCCUGAUCCAGCCCUGCCGCGUGUGUGAAGAAGGUUUUCGGAUGGUAAAGCACGUUAAGUUGGGAGGAAGGGCAGUAAGUUAAUACCUUGCUGUUUUGACGUUACCAACAGAAUAAGCACCGGCUAACUUCGUG
This 484-nucleotide ribosomal RNA is filed under the name uncultured bacterium. Its description in RNAcentral is "partial 16S ribosomal RNA". It matches the Rfam family "Bacterial small subunit ribosomal RNA", at positions 30 to 507 of the family's 1533-position model. The record is from RNAcentral.